GCAGCGGGUAGCUACCAUGCAGCCGAGCGGUAGAGAUUCUUCGGAAUCUUGAGAGCGGCGUACGGGUGCGGAACACGUGUGCAACCUGCCUUUAUCAAGGGGAUAGCCUUUCGAAAGGAAGAUUAAUACCCUAUAAUAUAUGAUUCGGCAUCGGAUUAUAUUGAAAACUACGGUGGAUAAAGAUGGGCACGCGCAAGAUUAGCUAGUUGGUGAGGUAACGGCUCACCAAGGCGACGAUCUUUAGGGGGCCUGAGAGGGUGAUCCCCCACACUGGUACUGAGACACGGACCAGACUCCUACGGGAGGCAGCAGUGAGGAAUAUUGGACAAUGGGUGGAAGCCUGAUCCAGCCAUCCCGCGUGUAGGAAGACGGCCCUAUGGGUUGUAAACUACUUUUAUCUGGGGAUAAACCUACUUACGUGUAAGUAGCUGAAGGUACCAGAUGAAUAAGCACCGGCUAACUCCGUGCCAGAC
This 473-nucleotide ribosomal RNA is filed under the name Elizabethkingia sp. YC49D. RNAcentral describes it as "bacterial SSU rRNA". It matches the Rfam family "Bacterial small subunit ribosomal RNA", at positions 39 to 513 of the family's 1533-position model. The record is from RNAcentral. Lineage: Bacteria; Pseudomonadati; Bacteroidota; Flavobacteriia; Flavobacteriales; Weeksellaceae.